This 253-nucleotide ribosomal RNA is filed under the name uncultured bacterium. RNAcentral describes it as "partial 16S ribosomal RNA". It matches the Rfam family "Bacterial small subunit ribosomal RNA", at positions 524 to 776 of the family's 1533-position model. The record is from RNAcentral.
UACGUAGGGUCCGAGCGUUGUCCGGAAUUACUGGGCGUAAAGAGCUCGUAGGUGGUUUGUCGCGUUGUCCGUGAAAACUCACAGCUCAACUGUGGGCGUGCGGGCGAUACGGGCAGACUGGAGUACUGCAGGGGAGACUGGAAUUCCUGGUGUAGCGGUGGAAUGCGCAGAUAUCAGGAGGAACACCGAUGGCGAAGGCAGAUCUCUGGGCCGUAACUGACGCUGAGGAGCGAAAGCAUGGGGAGCGAACAGG